AAAUUAAUAAUGUAAUUAAUAUGUUUUUUGCCCAUUCCUACAGAUCGUUCAACAAGUGAGAGGGAGUUGGAAGUUCAGUUUGGUCGUACUGAAACAACCAUUGUCUACAUGGGUGUGGUCUUUGGUGAACUACAUCCUUGAUUGGCCGUUUUCGUCUUCGCUUUGCAUCAUUAUGCAGUUAGUUUUGAACUGUUGAGUGAGAGCAACAGAAUAUUUAUUUGAUUUCCACUGAAAUAAGGAAUUUUCUGCAUUGGCAUUAUUCCUGGAUUUGGUUUGCUUUUCCCACCUGCAAACUUUGAAACAUUACAGUCUACAGUGAAUUAAGGAACGUUGGAAGAAUUCCAAAUUCUGUUAAAUUGUGGAGUAUUUAUUGUCUCAGUCGUCAAUCGCUCAAGAAAGUAGCGUUUCCUAUGGUCCUAAAAAGAGCAUAAAAACGUCAUUUAUCCAGUGUGCUGUUGUUGAAGAAAGGAUUUAUGACAAUGAACUGAUUGUCGUAACAGAUAAGAAGGAAUUGGUGCUACUGAAACAACCGAUGCUUUUGAUGUUUUCACCUUGCAACAUUAUGCAGUUAGUUUUGGCCCUGAAAAUGGCAGGCAAGUGAAAAUUAAUUCGGAAGUCACUGAAACAACAAGUUUUCUGCAGUGGUAUCCCUCCUAGAUUUGAUUUGCUCAUCAUACUGGCAGACUUUGGAACGCUACAUUCUACAAUUGGUUAAGAUCGUUCAACAAGUGAGAGGGAGUUGGAAGUUCAGUUUGGUCGUACUGAAACAACCAUUGUCUACAUGGGUGUGGUCUUUGGUGAACUACAUCCUUGAUUUGCUGUUUUCGUCUUCGCUUUGCAUCAUUAUGCUGUUAGUUUUGAACUGAUGAGUGAGAGCAACUGAAUAUUUAUUUGAUUUCCACUGAAAUAAGGAAUUUUCUGCAUUGGCAUUAUUCCUAGAUU
Long non-coding RNA from Agrilus planipennis (emerald ash borer), 942 nucleotides. RefSeq lists it as uncharacterized. The transcript is spliced from 4 exons. NCBI's taxonomy places the organism in Eukaryota, Metazoa, Arthropoda, Insecta, Coleoptera, Buprestidae. The record is from RefSeq and is a predicted model, not a curated record.